GGAGUUUGGCUGGGGCGGCACAUCUGCUAAAAGAUAACGCAGGUGUCCUAAGGUGAGCUCAGUGAGGACAGCAACCUCACGUAGAGCAAAAGGGCAAAAGCUCAUUUGAUUUUGAUUUUCAGUACGAAUACAAACUGCGAAAGCAUGGCCUAUCGAUCCCUUGUGCCUUCCAGGUAUGAAGCCAGGGGUGUCAGAAAAGUUACCACAGGG
Molecule: ribosomal RNA, 210 nt
Filed under: uncultured Geminigera
Lineage: Eukaryota; Cryptophyceae; Pyrenomonadales; Geminigeraceae
Description: partial Eukaryotic large subunit ribosomal RNA
Rfam family: Eukaryotic large subunit ribosomal RNA
Source: RNAcentral